GACGAACGCUGGCGGCGUGCUUAACACAUGCAAGUCGAACGAAGAGCGAUGGAAGCUUGCUUCUAUCAAUCUUAGUGGCGAACGGGUGAGUAACGCGUAAUCAACCUGCCCUUCAGAGGGGGACAACAGUUGGAAACGACUGCUAAUACCGCAUACGAUCUAAUCUCGGCAUCGAGGAAAGAUGAAAGGUGGCCUCUAUUUAUAAGCUAUCACUGAAGGAGGGGAUUGCGUCUGAUUAGCUAGUUGGAGGGGUAACGGCCCACCAAGGCGAUGAUCAGUAGCCGGUCUGAGAGGAUGAACGGCCACAUUGGGACUGAGACACGGCCCAGACUCCUACGGGAGGCAGCAGUGGGGAAUCUUCCGCAAUGGACGAAAGUCUGACGGAGCAACGCCGCGUGAGUGAUGACGGCCUUCGGGUUGUAAAGCUCUGUUAAUCGGGACGAAAGGCCUUCUUGCGAACAGUUAGAAGGAUUGACGGUACCGGAAUAGCAAGCCACGGCUAACUACGUG
Molecule: ribosomal RNA, 510 nt
Filed under: uncultured bacterium
Lineage: Bacteria
Description: partial 16S ribosomal RNA
Rfam family: Bacterial small subunit ribosomal RNA
Source: RNAcentral